GACGAACGCUGGCGGCGUGCUUAACACAUGCAAGUCGAACGGAAAGGCCCUGCUGGUGUGGGGUGCUCGAGUGGCGAACGGGUGAGUAACAAGUGAGUAACCUGCCCUUGACUUUGGGAUAACUUCAGGAAACGGGGGUUAAUACCGGAUAGGAGCUCCUGCUGCAGGGGGGGGGUUGGAAAGUUUCGGCGGUUGGGGAUGGACGCGCGGCUUAUCAGCUUGUUGGUGGGGUAGUGGCUUACCAAGGCUUUGACGGGUAGCCGGCCUGAGAGGGUGACCGGCCACAUUGGGACUGAGAUACGGCCCAGACUCCUACGGGAGGCAGCAGUGGGAAUUAUUGCACAAUGGGCGGAAGCCUGAUGCAGCAACGCCGCGUGCGGGAUGACGGCCUUCGGGUUUUAACCCGCUUUCGCCUGUGACGAAGCGUGAGUGACGGUAAUGGGUAAAGAAGCACCGGCUAACUACGUG
RNAcentral lists this ribosomal RNA (468 nucleotides) under uncultured bacterium. RNAcentral describes it as "partial 16S ribosomal RNA". It matches the Rfam family "Bacterial small subunit ribosomal RNA", at positions 28 to 507 of the family's 1533-position model. The record is from RNAcentral.